UACGGAGGGUGCAAGCGUUGUCCGGAAUCACUGGGCGUAAAGGGCGCGUAGGCGGCUCGGUAAGUAGGGGGUGAAAUCCUGCGGCUUAACCGCAGGGCUGCCUUCUAAACUGUCGAGCUUGAGCACGAUAGAGGCAGAUGGAAUUCCCGGUGUAGCGGUGGAAUGCGUAGAGAUCGGGAAGAACAUCAGUGGCGAAGGCGGUCUGCUGGGCCGUUGCUGACGCUGAGGCGCGACAGCGUGGGGAGCAAACAGG
RNAcentral lists this ribosomal RNA (253 nucleotides) under uncultured bacterium. RNAcentral describes it as "partial 16S ribosomal RNA". It matches the Rfam family "Bacterial small subunit ribosomal RNA", at positions 524 to 776 of the family's 1533-position model. The record is from RNAcentral.